This 374-nucleotide ribosomal RNA is filed under the name uncultured bacterium. Its description in RNAcentral is "bacterial SSU rRNA". It matches the Rfam family "Bacterial small subunit ribosomal RNA", at positions 29 to 413 of the family's 1533-position model. The record is from RNAcentral.
AUUGAACGCUGGCGGAAUGCUUUACACAUGCAAGUCGAGCGGCAGCGCGGGGCAACCUGGCGGCGAGCGGCGAACGGGUGAGUAAUGCAUCGGAACAUGUCCAUGUCGUGGGGGAUAGCCCGGCGAAAGCCGGAUUAAUACCGCAUAUGCCGAGAGGGAAGCGGGACCGCAAGGCCUGGCGCGAUUGGGUUGGCCGAUGUCCGAUUAGCUAGUUGGCGGGGAAGAGCCCACCAAGGCGAUGAUCGGUAGCUGGUCUGAGAGGAUGAUCAGCCACACUGGGACUGAGACACGGCCCAGACUCCUACGGGAGGCAGCAGUGGGGAAUUUUGGACAAUGGGGAAACCUGAUCCAGCCAUUCCGCGUGAGUGAAGAAG